AGCUACGUUCAGUUUCUUGUUCUAUUUGUUGGGGAUUUCUGCUCCCCAUGCGGAACGGUGGUGUUCAUGAUCAUUACUCAAAAGAGGCUAAGCACACUGACACAAUAUUUAACGUGGUUUGGCUAAUUGCCUACAUCCACGGGAGAGAUCAAUAUUAUUAGAGAUAGAGAAAGAAUACAACACACGGAGGAGGAUCACAUCCACUCAACUCCCAUCUCUCAUUGCUACAUAGGGCAGCAGCUGCAUAUGGCAGCAGGGCUGCUGGUGGCAGCCCUUCUCUUUCUUUCUCUCUUUUGUAGCUCUACUACAAGACUCUCUCUCUCAUUUUGUGCUGCACUCUUGGUGUCUAUUUAUAGGCUUCAAUGACAGCUCCUCUUGCUCCUUUGUCAACAAUGGUGGUUGCCAAACUUACCAAACUUUGACAUUAGACAAUGGUUGUUGGCUGCCACCAACAACCCACCAUUGUAGCCUCCUUCUUUGACAAUGUCAAGAGGCUGCAAAUGCUGCACCAGCAGCUCUCUUUGACUCUCACAUGGCAGCCAUCUUCUUUGACAAUGGCAGCCAUCUGCUUUGACAAUGGCAGCCACAUAAUUGGCAAUAUUCCAACAAUCACCCCCUUUGCCAUUUAUGUUGUAAAGGCUUUCAUCGUCCCUGCCUUCCGUGGCUUUGAUCGUCACUUUGCAAAUGGAAUAUGGCAUAGGAAUAAGUGGCUUAUGGGUGCAGGAGAAAGAGUAAAAAACGUGAGGGAAGGUCUGUCUAAUUAAAGAAAAAACGUGAGGGAGGGUCUGUUUAAUUAAGGGACUUUUAUUUUAUUUUGUUCUGUUUUCGGCAAGUUCUGGGUUCAUGCUUUCUUUCUCUGUGUUUGUGAAAAUGAGAUGACAUACACGUUUCUUUUUAGUCUCAGCAUUUAAUAUAUGUUCCUUCCCGCCGUGUGAAACAAGCACGACAGUUUUCAAGAUUAGGAUACCAGAGUAUAGGUCGUGGGUCACAAACACUGUCGUAAGGUUUGGAGUUUAAAAUGUUGGCCUAAGAACUUCGGCCCCCCACGUGACCAACUUAUUCUUGUGAUGGGUUGCUAACUUUAACUGUGAUGUUUUUUUAAAUUGUUGCAAUUAAUUGUUUGCUUUAACUUCAAAAUGUUAGUUUCAGAAUUUUGGCUCCCACAUAAUGAACUGUGAUGUUUGAGUUUAAAUGGUUUCUAUAAACAGUGUUUUAAUUAAAUAUAAAAAAUAUUUUUUUGAGUGUUGCAUACGGCCAAUACCCUAACAUGUUUUUAACGUUUUUUUAUAUUAAAAAAAACAAAUAUUUGAAGUUUCGAAAAUGUGUUUUCGCAUGGAUUUCUUAAACACAACAAAAAUUAUUUUCUUGCAUUUUGGAUUUUACAACGUGUUUGUAAAUUCCAAAGGGUGUUGGCCAAUAUUCUAAAAAUAUAAAAAUCUUAUUUUUGGGAAUUUUUCUAUAUUCACUAUUAAUGUUUGGAUAAAGAAAUCCCAAAGAGGUUAAUAUCCAAAAUAUUAUUAGGAAUAAUUUGUUAUUAUUCACUACAAAUAUUUGGAUAAAGAAACCCCCAAAAAGAUGUUAAUAUUCAAAAUAUUAUUGGGAAUAAUUCGUCAUUGUUCACUGUUAAUAUUUAGAUAAAGAAACCCCCAAGGGGUAAAUAUCAAAAUAUUUUUUAGGAACAACAAAGUCAUUAUCCCUUAAUAAUAUAAGGGCAAAUAAACCUAUGAAAGGUAAAUGUCCAAAAUAUUAUUAAUAGGAAUACAACUUGUUUAUUUUUAACAUAAGGGCAGAUUUAUGCCUAAAAUUUUAUUUAGGACAAUUUAUUUGUUUAUCCUUGAAAGAAGCCUCAAUCAUAAUUGGGGACGUUUCAAAUUUUGAUUCCACGAUUUAUAAGUUAUGAAAACAUGAAAUACUAAGGCAAAAAAAUGGGCUUUUAAAGCACCUUGAAUUUCCUUAGAUUUCUAACUUAGUCUUUCUUGUUUCUCUUCCUUGCGAUUUACGAGUCACGAACACUUGAAAUACUAAGGGAAAAAUGAGCGCUUAAACUCAUUGAAUCUCCUCAGAUUUCUAUCUCAGAUGUCUCUAAAUUCAUAAAUUCUAAAUUUAUUUCAAACCAAGCUUGAUCUACACCGUUUCUCUUUGGCACUCUAUAGACAUAUCUAAAGGUAUGAUCCGUAUUGGCCAAGGCUUCUUUCCUGUAGACUGUUGCUACCCAAUUUUUGACCCAUGUUUUGAUAAAUUUUCAGAAAAUCCAAAAAUAGCAAAAAAACAUUGAAAAUCCAAAAAAUACAUUUUUAAUACAUUUGCAUCGUUUUUAGCAUUUUUAGCAUCGUCUCAAAAGAAUUUAAAUUUUCAAGACAUUUGGAACGCGUUCAACUUUUAACGCGUUGUUUUUAAAAUUAUUGAUUUUCUUCAUUGAGUUGACGUUGAUAUUACUUGUUUUCAAAAAAAAUACAAAAAAAUUAAGAAAAAUCAAAUUUACAAAAAAAAAGAAAGUUGAGGGACCAAUUUUGAGAUCCAUGCAACAUUUUACCUAUAAAUACUGGUCCACAACUCAAACAAGAGGGGGGGCAAUUUUGCAAUUAUAGGGGCAACAAAAAACCCUAGGGGCUGAACAUUUUUUUUCUCUUCUCUUCACCCGGAGCCGCCAGCCCCCCAUCCUGAUCAGAUUUUUAUCUUCUUCUCCCUCACAAGGCUGCCCCCUGGCUUGGCCAAAAAACAAGGAGAACCAAAGCCACGGCAAAAACCCCCUGCCUCUCCUCUCUUCCAAGCCGCCGUUCACAACCUCCUCCCACCGAAGAACCCAGCGGCGGCCGACAGCAGCACCACCACACAGCCAGCUUAUUCUCCUUCCUCAUCCAUAGAAGUCAGCAGCUGCUACACCUCCUGCCCCCACACCGGACUAGUCCCUUUCUUCCAGCCGUUCCUCCAGCGCCAACACACCCGAUCUCCUCAGCACCGCCACCGGGCUCAUCCUUCAACCGACCUCCAGACCAGCCCGAACACAGCGGCAGCAAAAGACAGCCCUCCUCCAGCCGUUCCCCCAGCUUCAGCAGCCGGCAGAAUCGCACUGCCAGUAACCCACCCUCAGCAAAACCCUUCAGCAACCGGUCCUCCCCCGAUCUCUUCAUCUCCAUCAACAACAAAGCCAGCCGGACGAACGACAGCAGCUCAGUGACCACAGCUGCGACCCCCUUUGCAACAGCUGGAUCGGCCACCGGAAGCAGAGAAGAAGGCGAAACUAAAAGAAGACAGAUCCAAGAGAAGAAACCGAAGCAGAUCUAAACCAAAAACCGAGAAGGAAAGGAGACAGCUGGUUGUUGCGUUUGUGUUUCUUUUUGCAGGUGACGGUGGCUCUCACCGCCGGCGUAGGAAGAAAGAGGGGAAGAAGUCGAUCCAGAUCCCCCCUGUUUCUGGAGUUCCUUGCGGCGGCGCGUGAACCCACGCGCCGCCAGUGACGGUGGUGCGUGGGAAGACGCGCCGCCACUGUUCAUGCUGUUCCAGAAGGGCUUUCCUGCAAUUUCUGGAGUUUUAGGGACUAUUUUGUAAUUUUAAAUUAUGUAAUGUAAAUUUUUUGUAGUGUUUAAUUUUUUAUAAUUUUGUAAUUUGAUGUACAAAAAAAGAAAGAAAAAGAAAAAGAAAAGAAAAGAAAACGAAAAAAUAUAGUGAAAGUGUAUGUGUGUUUUGUAUUUUUUUUAUGUACGUUAUUGAAUCAAAAAAAAAAUGAAUUUAAUAUUUUUAAUUUAUAUGCACAAAUAUCUAAAGGACAGAUAAAAAUCAUGUUGUGCUCCCUUAAAAAUGUAGAACAUGUGUCUACAUACAUUUUGGGAACUAAUAACUGAUUUAUCAAAGCCUUAGAAUUGGGCUAAAAUUUUAUUUUUAAAACGCAUCAAGUCCACGAAGCAGCUUACCUCAGGUAGGGUGCGUUAGGGGUGCUAAUACCUUCCCUAACCACAACCAGUCCCUUACUCGUGAAUCUCUGAUGAGACCGGCACACCCGGGUUUCCUAGUAGCCCUCAAUUAAAUACUAGGUGGCGACUCCCAACGAACCAAUCAAAGCAAAACGAACAACGAUAAAAUCGCCAGCCGAUGCCGCGUGCCGAUUUUUUUUUGACGUGCGACAGAAUGGCGACUCCGCUGGGGAAGGUAUUGUUUUCAACAUUAUUGGACUAAGCUUUGUGUAUUUGAUGUGUUUAUGUUUUUGUAUUUUUGUCUUGUUUUAUUUUUGUUUUAUUCAUGCAUUUGGUAGAAUUGUUUCAUGCAUCAUAUAUUUUAAUUUUUAGCACACACAAGCUUCAGGUUAGGAGGGGGACUAGCAGCUUACCUUAUGACUUUUAGUCAAGGUUUAAGUUUGUGUAAACCCCAACUCUUCGUUGAGUGCUUAGACUGGUAAUAGUUGGACAUGUGCCAUCUCAUUGCCUACAAGCCCCCAUAUUGCCUUCACGAGGGCAAUCACUGGGACAACAAGAGACCCUUUUUAGAGACCAAGUAGUAAACCUACCUUUUGUCUCACUUAAAAAGAUUAGAACCUGCCUUUAGGAUGUGCUCCGUAUACAUUGUUUUGCAUCAGGGCAAACCCUUCUUGAAGCAUCUUGAACUCAAGACUUUUGGGUGACCCAAUGGCCGUCACUCAGAAAAUUUUCAUUGUAGAGUUUGGGCAAGAAUCAAGAUUCUUGUUUCAUCAUACAAGAGUUACGACCAUAUGUCACCCCUCGAAGGGCGAGUUCUUCAUAUAGAUUACAUGUUCAUACAUUUAUCAUGCAUGUACCGGGAGGAAAAAUAGGUUCCCCCAUCCGAGCUUUGCUACACUUGAUUGAACAAAGAUGAUGAGAAAUGAAGAAAGGAGUCAAAGAGAGGCACAAAGUCAAAAGAAAGUUGAGAGCAUCAAAGGGGAAGUAGCUAGGCUCAGAUCUGCUUGAACAAGUGUAGAACAUCAAAGGGAAAGGGAAUGUCUGCACAAUCUUCUGUGGAAACACUGCUUGUCCACGUCCAAGUGAAGCUGCACCUCUCCAUUUCAGUCCUGAACAACAAUGGCUUUAGUCAUCAACUAAUGACAACUUUUGUUCUUGGUCAGCUGCCCUGUUAAUUGUUCAUCGCCUCCACAUCUUUCAAUAGCACCAAAUAACUGCUAGCCUUCUGUGCAUGGUGCAUUAGCCUUCUUUGACGUUACCCCAACUGUUAGCUCAAUUCCAGUUCAGCGGCACAAAAAAAAAAACAAAAAAAAAACACAAAAAAAAAACCCCGAAAAAAAAAACUGAAAAAACCAUGAUUAGACACUGAACUUCUACGUUGCAGAGCUCUCUCUGUAGAGAUUUGUUUGUGGAUUUGCCAAUGGGAAAUGCAAGAGGGGGUGUAGUAGUUUCAUAUGCCUUAAAACUUUCUCUCACCAGUGGCACCAGCAAAACAUUGUAGUAGGCAGAAGGGUGAGACCUGGUCUGAAAAUGUUAGCAGUCAUCAAACUUCAAUGUGGCAGAGCUCUCUCUACAAAAAUCCGUUUAUGGCUCUGCAAGUUGGGAAUGCAAGAGGGGAUUUAUUAGGUGCAUAUGCUAUAAAACUCUCUCAUCAGUUUCAGCACAAAGACAUUGUGGUAGGUUGAAGAGCCAAACCUGGUCUGAAAAACAUGAACAGACAUUAAACUUCAACGCGGCAGAGCUCUCUCUACAAAAAUUCGUUUGUGGCUCUGCAAGUGGGGAAUGCAAGAGGGGAUGCAGUACUUUCAUACGCUACAAAACUUUGGCUCAUCAGUUUCAGCACUGAAACACUGGAGUAGGCCGAAGAGUCAGACCUAGUCUGAAAACAUGAGCAGUCGUCGAACUUUGACGUGGCAGAGCUCUCUCUACAAAAACCCGUUUAUGGCUCUGCAAGUGGGGAAUUCAAGAGGGGAUGUAGUAGUUCCAGACAAUGUGAAAAUUUACCCCACCAGUUUCAGCAUCGAAACACUGUAGUAGGCAGAAAAGCCAGACUUGAGCUAGAAAACAGGAGCAAAUAUAGAACUUCACCGUGGCAGAGCUCUCUCUGCAGAAAUCUGUUUGUAGAUCUGCAAGUGGAGAAUCCAAGAAGGGAUGCAGUAGUUUCUGAUCAUCUAUAAUUUUCUCUCAUCGGUGUUAGCUUGAAAAUGCAAUAGAAGGGAAAAGAGACAAACCUCGGCUGAAAAAUAGAAAGAAGAUUGAAACUUCAACAGAGCAGAGCUCCCUCUACAGGUGUCUGUUUGCUGCACCAUCAGUGAGGAAUCAAAGAGGAGACAAAGGAGUUUCAGAUUCAUUAGUUUCUCCUCCAAUAAAAACAAUGCACAUUUCACGCAUUGACAGUGAUAGCGCUGCAUGAUUCUAUGCGCUGGCAAGAUUACCUAGCUGUUGGAAGGUUUCCAACAAUCCACAAAUGACCACAACAACAUUGGAAGAAUGACAUGAUGUUGUGAAGAUCAUCGAAAGAAUUAAGCUAGCUAUGAAGAUGAGAAGGAUUGAAGGUUCUGUCAAGAAUUCCAGAACAAUGAUGAGAGAUGAAUCAGGAGAUGACUCUAAAGAUGAGAAACCAUAGUUACUUGGUUUAGUCAAGUCUCACUGUAGCACCAGCUGCUCAAAUGUCUUUGCCAAGACUGACAUUUAUCUGCCACCCAAGUUGGACUACUAGCAUCUGUCAGAUUCCAGACUUUUUGCCUGACUCAGUUAAAUCCCAUGCAACCACCGUUUUCGAGGUGGUAUAAUCCAGACAAGAGAUGUGAUGUCAUGGUGGGGUCCUCAGCCAUUUCAAUUGAAUAAUUGCAAGAAUCGAGUCCGCAAAUUGGUGAGCAAAAGACGAGAGGAAUCUGUGAAGAAGCUUGUCAUUGAUCAUUUUGUUGCCAGAACAUCCUCAGAAUGACGAGUGAUCGAAAUUGCUCGGUAAACACAGAUAUUGCCAGAAUAGUUGAUCCAAGAAGGACGUUGAACUGUCAAUCAUGUUGUUAUGGAAUUUUUGUCAUUCUACAUUUUGUUUUGGGGUCACAUCUCAUCCUUGAACGAAACAUGUCUUUUCUUUGUCUUUUUGUUGUUUUGAAAUCAAGAGAUGCUUCUUUCAAAUGGUAUUUUGACAAAAAUAUUUUUUUUUUUGAUCAAACUCCAACAUACAAAAUUAAAGCUAGUCAAUCCUGAAGAUUAAAAGUGUUUUGAUUGCGGAAAUGACUUGAUGCUUGAAAAUGACAUGAGGUGACCAAACAAUUUUUGAACUCAUACUUCCUGAAACUGAACCACACAUCAUAUAGCUAGUUUUAGCAGUAUGCAUAAUGACAUGUAGUGGAUUCAAUAGUUAUGGACUCGUGAAUCAUGAUUCUUGCAAGUCCAAAUCAUUACACUGGAUGAGGUCAAAAUUUAUCGAUUCUAACCGACCUUGCUUGAAAUGAGAAAAGGCCAUCUUUGUUAUCCUUUCACAUUUCUUGAAAUAUUAUCCCUUGCAGUCCCAUUUUGAGCCUGGUAAAAUAUUUUCUUUCAAGAAAACCCUGACUAGGAUCACACCCCGCACUGGGGGCAAAUAAGAGAAGACAAAAGUGAAAGAGAAGGCUUAGAACAAAAGUUCAACGUUUGAGAGUGAGUUAAAAGAAAGAAGACCUAGACUGGGGGCAUGUUAGAAAACUAUGAGAAAUGCUAUGUGAAAGCCAUGACCUUUGACAUCCAUGAUAAAGCCCUGAAGUUAUCAGAUGAUUGAGUUUGGUUAUUCGUCAAAGAAAAAGUUGGAUUUGCAUAUAACCUAUGUUAAGAGAAUUCUGAUAUUUAAGGUUAAUAAGGUUAUAUGUCGUUUCCUCUACAAAGACAACAAUAGAAAAAGAGUUGAAAAAUAGUUUGAUGUUGAUCCUAGGUCUUUGAAACCCUCAAACACCUUUUGAGCCUGAAUUUUCCUUUCUUUCAUAAGCCAUGAACCAUAGCCUGCAUUACGUGUUUUAAAAAGCCCUUUUUAAUCAAGUAAGCAAUCUGAACCGAUAAAUGGCGAUCUCAAAAAUGGAAGAGUUGUUCCAUAAGGGUCGUGACUUCAUGGAUUAAGCUACGGGUUAUUAUGCAUGCUGAUAAAAUUGGUGCUAAAAAAGAAAACAAUCUUUCUUGAUGAAUCCUCAAGUUUUGACUUGAUCCUUUUGUUUCUUGAAAUUCACAGAAGGUCACCUCAUUGCAGACCGUGAAAAGAUAUACCCAAGAUCAAAGAUUAAAACUGACAUAAAAAACCAUGGAAAAAGUCAUUUUAAACUUACAAUGGGUCAUUUCUGUUUUCAAAAUACAAGACAAUCAAAGGACUAUAUUGAAUAGUGUGUGUUGGGUCUUUGACCAAAAAGCAUGAUUUUCAAAAGAUCUUUUCCAAAACUGAUAUCUCUUUGAUUUCAUUUCAACAAUUAGACUUGAAUUGACAUGAUCUUUGAAAUAUGAGAUUUGAUUCCAGAACAAGAAAGAUUGUCGAACAAUGAAGAACAUCGAGUGAGUCUGCGAAAUAUUUGACAUGAAAUGACAUCAACUCUUCUCAAUACUCCUUGAAAAAUUGAGACACCUGGAGGCAAUACAGUGGAUCAUGGGUAGGAAAACAAACAGUAUUCAGAUCAACUGGGGGCAAUGAAAGAUGAUUAAAUGAUGAAUCAGUGUACUGAAGACAAUGUUGUUCAAAGAAAGAUAAUCAAUGAACGAGCACAUUCAGAUCAUAUUGGGGGCAAUGUUGUUCAAAGACAGUCAGUGAUUUAGUGAACUUCAGCAGCAAUUGAUGAGCAACGCUGCACUUGAAGGGCAUUUUAUUAUCGUCAGCUAAAACAUGGCUAUGACGCCUAACAUAUGUUAUCAGGUGAGUGCAUUUGAAUGAACAUCGAAAGAUGAACAUCACCAAGACUGACUGUGGGACCAUCUAUUCUGAAUCUCAAAUGCGCACUUCACCGCGUGAAUAUGGGUGAUGAACAUCAUUGAGGAUGCCAACACAUUUCCUUUCAUGAUCUGAUUUGACAAGCUGAGAGGAAUCCAUGGAGAAGAACAUUGAGCUUACAACGAUGAGCCUUUUACUGCAAGGUAUGAGAUGUAUGUCUGGACGACUAGAUGAUUUCCAUGAAGACUGGUGAUAACAUAUACUUGAAGAGUAUUGUUUCAACUUGAGGAAAGUUUAUGACUGGUUGAUAAUCGUGAUGGUGUUGGCACGAUGCGCACAAUCAAUGAGAGAACAAUUCUCAGGAUAAUACAGAGGAUGAAUGAUCGGUUAAGAUCUUCAUGAUGAAUCAAGCAACACCACACUAGGGGGCAGAGUCAAGCUUGAUAAACAGCAAGAGCAGUAACCGUCGAAGACAGCCCAGGAUGUGCACGACACUUACAACUGAGGGGAUGGCUAGCACAUGAAUGAGCCAAUGCAUCGAAAGAACCAAUAAAGCUUUGGAAUGCAAACAAAGGCACCCUAUGACGAUGGAUCAUCAAAGGGGGGGGCCUAUAUUUCACAUCAGGUAAGGAUGCAUGCAUGUCAUCUAACCUCAAAGCAUUGCACAUACUUGUGAUUUGUUACAGAAAGAUCCUCAAUGUAGUUUAGCAAGAUUGGGGACCAAAAAAAAAAGAGAAAAAAAAGGGAGAAUCAUUGAGCUGAUAAUAACAAAGAAUCAUGGUUGUGACCUUGGAACGGGAAGAAGAUGAGAGAUAAACCUUACUGUUAGGAAAAUCUCAAAGAAAUGAAAAGAUCAACCUUGCAAUCAGGAAGCAUCGAGUUUUCAAACCCUGCGAUCAAGAAUUAUCAAGAAGCACCAAGUUUUCCGGCCCUUCUUCUAUCAUCCCUUCAGGACUUCGCCAGGUAAGUCCCAUUUUUCACACUUGUCACAUCACAUCUUUCAGUUGGGUAGGUCACCCAUAACAAUGAGACCAUUUCACAUUUUUUCUAUCCUCCACAUGGGUAGGUCACCCAUAAUAAUGAGAUCGCUUCAUAUUUUUCUCAUCUUCCAUCUGGGUAGGUCACCCAUUACAAUGAGACCGCUUCAUAUUUUUUAUAUCCUCCACCUGGGUAGGUCACCCAUAACAAUGAGACCACUUCACAUUUUUUCUAUCUUCCACAUGGGUAGGUCACCCAUAAUUCCACAUGGGUAGGUCACCCAUAAUAAUGAGACCGCUUCAUAUUUUUCUCAUCUUCCAUCUGGGUAGGUCACCCAUUACAAUGAGACCGCUUCAUAUUUUUUCUAUCUUCCACUUGGGUAGGUCACCCAUUACAAUGAGACCACUUCAUAUUUUUUUUAUCUUCCACCUGGGUAGGUCACCCAUAACAAUGAGACCACUUCAUAUUUUUUCUAUCUUCCACUUGGGUAGGUCACCCAUUAUAAUGAGACCACUUCAUAUUUUUUCUAUCUUCCACGUGGGUAGGUCACCCAUAACAAUGAGACCACUUCACAUUUUUUCUAUCCUCCACAUGGGUAGGUCACCCAUAAUAAUGAGACCACUUCACAUUUUUUCUAUCUUCCACGUGGGUAGGUCACCCAUAACAAUGAGACCACUUCACAUUUUUUCUAUCUUCCACCUGGGUAGGUCACCCAUUAUAACGCGACCACUUCAUAUUUUUUCUAUCUUCCACCUGGGUAGGUCACCCAUAACAAUGAGACCACUUCACAUUUUUUCUAUCCUCCACCUGGGUAGGUCACCCAUUAUAAUGAGACCGCACUUCACAUUCUUUCCAUUUGGGUAGGUCACCCAUCAUAAUGAGACCGUUUUCCACAUCAUUUUUCUUGGGUUAGUCACCCAUACAAUGAGACCACCAUUUUUCUGGGGUUCGUCACCCAUACAAUGAGACUACCAUUUUUCUGGGGUUCGUCACCCAUACAAUGAGACCAUCAUUUUUCUGGGGUUCGUCACCCAUACAAUGAGACCACCAUUUUUCUGGGGUUCGUCACCCAUACAAUGAGACCAUCAUUUUUCUGGGGUUCGUCACCCAUACAAUGAGACCACCAUUUUUCUGGGGUUCGUCACCCAUACAAUGAGACCAUUAUUUUUCUGGGGUUCGUCACCCAUACAAUGAGACCACCAUUUUUCUGGGGUUCGUCACCCAUACAAUGAGACCACCAUUUUUCUGGGGUUCGUCACCCAUACAAUGAGACCAUUAUUUUUCUUGGGUUAGUCACCCAUACAAUGAGACCAUUAUUUUUCUUGGGUUAGUCACCCAUACAAUGAGACCACCAUUUUUCUGGGGUUCGUCACCCAUACAAUGAGACCAUCAUUUUUCUUGGGUUCGUCACCCAUACAAUGAGACCAUUUGUUCCACCUUCUUUGUUUUGGUUUAAUGAGGUCGCCAGAUGGGAUCUCAUGUAGCUUUGGUUAAAGGGAAUCGCCAGAUGGGAUUUCAGGUUGACCGAGCUACACACAUUUUUUUAGUUUUGGUUUAAUGAGGUCGCCAGAUGGGAUCUCAUGUUGGUUCUGGUUAAAGGGGAUCGUCGGACGCGAUCUCAGGUUAGCCCAACCACGCAGAUUUUGAUUUUGGUUCAAGGAGAUCGCCCGAUGGGAUCUCACAAAAAAAAAAGAAGAGAGAAAAAGAGAGAAAAAGAGCAAGGUCUUUAGAUGAGUGGAUUUUGAGCAGACAGAAAGGCAAGUUUUUCUUUACAAAGCUUACUAUGCGAAACAUUGAGGAGUUUUGCUUCGUAAGCAUUGCAUCUGUUGCUACCCAAUUUUUGACCCAUGUUUUGAUAAAUUUUCAGAAAAUCCAAAAAUAGCAAAAAAACAUAAAACAUUGAAAAUCCAAAAAAUACAUUUUUAAUACAUUUGCAUCGUUUUUAGCAUUUUUAGCAUCGUCUCAAAAGAAAGACAUUUGGAACGCGUUCAACUUUUAACGCGUUGUUUUUAAAAUUAUUGAUUUUCUUCAUUGAGUUGACGUUGAUAUUACUUGUUUUCAAAAAAAAAUACAAAAAAAUUAAGAAAAAUCAAAUUUACAAAAAAAAAGAAAGUUGAGGGACCAAUUUUGAGAUCCAUGCAACAUUUUACCUAUAAAUACUGGUCCACAACUCAAACAAGAGGGGGGGGCAAUUUUGCAAUUAUAGGGGCAACAAAAAACCCUAGGGGCUGAACAUUUUUUUUCUCUUCUCUUCACCCGGAGCCGCCAGCCCCCCAUCCUGAUCAGAUUUUUAUCUUCUUCUCCCUCACAAGGCUGCCCCCUGGCUUGGCCAAAAAACAAGGAGAACCAAAGCCACGGCAAAAACCCCCUGCCUCUCCUCUCUUCCAAGCCGCCGUUCACAACCUCCUCCCACCGAAGAACCCAGCGGCGGCCGACAGCAGCACCACCACACAGCCAGCUUAUUCUCCUUCCUCAUCCAUAGAAGUCAGCAGCUGCUACACCUCCUGCCCCCACACCGGACUAGUCCCUUUCUUCCAGCCGUUCCUCCAGCGCCAACACACCCGAUCUCCUCAGCACCGCCACCGGGCUCAUCCUUCAACCGACCUCCAGACCAGCCCGAACACAGCGGCAGCAAAAGACAGCCCUCCUCCAGCCGUUCCCCCAGCUUCAGCAGCCGGCAGAAUCGCACUGCCAGUAACCCACCCUCAGCAAAACCCUUCAGCAACCGGUCCUCCCCCGAUCUCUUCAUCUCCAUCAACAACAAAGCCAGCCGGACGAACGACAGCAGCUCAGUGACCACAGCUGCGACCCCCUUUGCAACAGCUGGAUCGGCCACCGGAAGCAGAGAAGAAGGCGAAACUAAAAGAAGACAGAUCCAAGAGAAGAAACCGAAGCAGAUCUAAACCAAAAACCGAGAAGGAAAGGAGACAGCUGGUUGUUGCGUUUGUGUUUCUUUUUGCAGGUGACGGUGGCUCUCACCGCCGGCGUAGGAAGAAAGAGGGGAAGAAGUCGAUCCAGAUCCCCCCUGUUUCUGGAGUUCCUUGCGGCGGCGCGUGAACCCACGCGCCGCCAGUGACGGUGGUGCGUGGGAAGACGCGCCGCCACUGUUCAUGCUGUUCCAGAAGGGCUUUCCUGCAAUUUCUGGAGUUUUAGGGACUAUUUUGUAAUUUUAAAUUAUGUAAUGUAAAUUUUUUGUAGUGUUUAAUUUUUUAUAAUUUUGUAAUUUGAUGUACAAAAAAAGAAAGAAAAAGAAAAAGAAAAGAAAAGAAAACGAAAAAAUAUAGUGAAAGUGUAUGUGUGUUUUGUAUUUUUUUUAUGUACGUUAUUGAAUCAAAAAAAAAAUGAAUUUAAUAUUUUUAAUUUAUAUGCACAAAUAUCUAAAGGACAGAUAAAAAUCAUGUUGUACUCCCUUAAAAAUGUAGAACAUGUGUCUACAUACAUUUUGGGAACUAAUAACUGAUUUAUCAAAGCCUUAGAAUUGGGCUAAAAUUUUAUUUUUAAAACGCAUCAAGUCCACGAAGCAGCUUACCUCAGGUAGGGUGCGUUAGGGGUGCUAAUACCUUCCCUAACCACAACCAGUCCCUUACUCGUGAAUCUCUGAUGAGACCGGCACACCCGGGUUUCCUAGUAGCCCUCAAUUAAAUACUAGGUGGCGACUCCCAACGAACCAAUCAAAGCAAAACGAACAACGAUAAAAUCGCCAGCCGAUGCCGCGCGCCGAUUUUUUUUUGACGUGCGACAUAGACUUUGAACCCAAGUUCGUUCAUCAUAGCAGACUUAUCCUAGGAAACUGAUGGGAUUAGAGAAUAUCAACACCAUAGCAAUUAUAGGCAAACCAAACACCAAGCAGCUUACCUUAGGUAGGGCGUACUAGGGGUGCUAAAACCUUCCCUUUACGCAACCAGUUCCUUGCCUUAGAAUCUCUGAAAGACCAGUUAGGUUUCCUAGUGACUAUAAUACUAGGUAGCGACUCCCUUUUUCACAAAACAAAGACCCCAACAUCAAUCCCUGCUACAAGGAAGGGUCGCCGCGACGUCGAGCUCUCGAGAGGGUACGACAACAUCAUUGAAAUUAUUCACAUUAUUUUGUGAUGGAUAAGAUACGUAAGAUAAGCCAGAUCAUUCGAUUGAAGAAUCAGAAAGGGAUCGUGACAUUGCCAGUCAAGAAGGAACAUGAGACAUAUCAGCAACAGCUUCUACUAAUGAGCAGUGGAAGAGUGUCUGACCACAUUGAUGAGUUGUGGAAAUGUCUUUGCUUUGCUUCACUUUUGUAGGAAAGGAUACCACGUACAAUUCUACAGUUGUAUUAAAUUUGUUACCUUUCUCUUUAAGACAUAGGAAAUCGUGACAAAUUAAAAGCAUUUUCGUCUAGAAAGGUCUUAUUUAUAUGAACUACCAUGCGCCUCUUACAAAAGCUUUCAAUCUGUCUUAUGUCAUAUUCAUUGAAAAUUGUACUGUAUUAAAAAGAUAUUAUCAAUACUUAAACAUCUUUAAAUUAUAUUUGAGGUAGGCUGAAUUACUAUAUUUGUUUUAAAUUGUUAAAAUUUUAUUAGUUUAUACUAUGAAGUUUGCUUGUAAUAUUUAUGACUCUAACGUCAUUGAAUAUUCAAUAACGAAUACUUCCAACUCUACCAUUAAUAAAUAUUAUAUAAUAAAAAAAAAUACAGUAUUUUAGAUUCUGACAUCAGCAAAUAAACUAGUAAAAUGAUUUUCAAUCAAUGCAUGCAUAUUUUUUUCUAAAAGAAUAUUGUAUACUAUAUUUGCAUUUCACAAUAAAAAUUCACAUAUUCAUUAUAUAAUAAAAUACUUAAAACUAACGUGAGUAGCUUACAAAUAAAUUUAAAAAGGUUUAUGAAUUUUUGAAAAUUUUCUUAUAUCUAAAAAUGACUAUUUUACUAAAUAUCGCAAUAAAAAAAAAUAAAAAGAUAAGAUAUAAGGUUGUGUCUUGCCAGACACAUCUUUAACUUCUCAAUCUCAGCUUUUUUUCCUUUUUUGUGGGUUUGACUCAACUUGUAUAGACUGGACUUGAUCUAAUGAGGCCUGAUUACUUGUCCAAGCCAUUGACCGGGCUGGCUGAGAUGAGAAGCACGCGUGAAUUUUUUUCACGGUGCAUGAGAAGUGCAAAGGUAAUUAAAUUACCUUAGCACAGUAUCAAUUCUCAUUUGCAGAUCGACAAGAAAGCAAGUGAACUCACCUGGACGAAGACGAUGACAAUUCCGUUUUGGUUUCUGCGUUUUCGACUUGCGUUUUCUUUCUGUUUGCUGGCUUUUCUCUGUGUUUGUUCGCCUGGCUUUCUCUCUGAUUUAGGAGACGGAGACGUGAUGGAUGACUGGCCAAAGCUCUGCUUCGGUUCUUUGUAUGCUCCUGUGUUGUCCUCCUGUCACCUGUGCACUUCUUUCUCUCUUUUUUAGCUCAUCUUUCUGGGUAGGUUUCUGGUUUGAGGCUGGUGCUGAAGAAAGGGGAAGCCGACGCUGCUACUUUUUAGUUUCCUCUGCUUUUUGGAUAUUCCUGGGCUGGGUUCCUUUGGCUCAGUCUCCUUCUUGUGUUUGUCUGUCUCUCUCUCCAGUGCUGGAGAUGGCUAAGACAAUGGUCACACUUUCCUCUGGUUUUUCACCAGUUUUUCCUCCCCGUUUGCGUCUUCGUCUUCCUGUGCUCGGUGCUCCCCCCCUGUUUUUCGUCCUUUCUCUGGCUUUUAUAAAAGCCAGAGAAUGCCAUGCGGUCGCCUCCAAAUACUGAGGCGACCGACCGUUGCUAAUGCUGGAGUAAUGGCGAUCGUGGGGGCGUGGGCAGCUGGCGUCCCUUUGUGUUUUUUUUUUUUUUUUGUUCACUUUUUUCUCCCUGGUGAGAUGAGAUGAAUAGUGCAUCUUGAAACGUCACCGUUUUUGAGAUGGGAAUUCCCAUUUACAGUUUGGUCAAUGAAGUCUGGAUAUGUUGUAAUCAAGCCCCUGGGUAAAUUGUAAUUGGACCCCUUCAUUUCAGAGUCAUUCAUACAAUGGUCCUCGGAUAUUAAUUUCUUGCAAUAUUAACCCGAAUCAGCCCUAAACUUUGGUAUUUCUUCAAUUAAGCCCCUGAUUUCAUUAAUUAAAGUAAUCCCAAGUUCAAUUAAUUCCCCAAACUUAUCGAUUCUUCAAUUAAGCUAUUGGUUUGAUUAAUUAAACUACUCCAAAGUUUAAUUAAGUCCCAAACUUUCAAUUUAUAUAGUCUUGACCCAAAUUUCAAUUUAUUCUUCAUUCAUUUCAUUUUUUCUUUUGCUUUUUUUUAUUUCAUUCAUUUUUUUAUCAUCACUUAUUUUUUAUUAUUUUUUUCUAUAAAAAAAUAAAAAUAAAAGGAUUCAAAAUUUGGGUUAUGAUAAAAAUUAUUAAUAAUUAUUUUAAAUUUUAAAUUUCUUUCAAGUCACAAACUUCUUGAGUUUUGUUAAUAAAGCUUAUGCACAACAUUUUCAUUAAACUACCUAAAUUUUAAUAAUAAUAAAAAAUCAUAAACAAUAUUUUGACUAGACUUAUUUGCACCCACGUGAUGCCACCCAAUAUAACAAUUAACAAAGCAAUACAAUUAACAAAACAAGUUUUUUUGAUAUGUUAAUAUUAAUUAUUAAAAAAAUCUAAAAAUUAUUAUUUUAAUAUAUUUUUAAUUAAAAACUACUUUUAAAAAAAUAACUUAUCACAUUACACGAUACUCAUUAGUGCCGAGGGCAGGCAUGUGAUCGUGAGAAAAGUGCUCACAAAAAAGCUUAGACAAAGACAAUACAGGAGAGUUUUGCCUCGUUUUCACUUUAAGUUUGAAGGACACAAAACAAGAGAGUUCAUUCGUUUUUUUUUUUUAAGUAUUUAAAAAAAUAAAAUUUUAUUUUUGCUUAAAAUUAUUUUUAUCUAUUUUAAAAUUAUUUUAAUAUAUUGAUAUAAAAAUAAUUUUUAAAAAAUAAAAAAAUAUAUUAUUUUAAUAUAUUUUUAAAUAAAAAAAUAUUUUAAAAAACAACCAUUAUCAUAUUCUCAACACACCCAUUUAAAUAAAAAUAAAACCCACCGUAUAAGUGUUUUUUGUUUCCUGGCGGCAUUUUAGAUAGUUGAGUCCAGGUUCCAUUCAAGAUUAAACCAUUAAUAUUCUUGAAAUUGUUCUAUGUGAUAUAAGUUCUCUAUCAGAAAACUUAUUCAACAGAGCGCAAUUGGGCUUUGAAAUUCCUCACAAAAUCAUCAGACUAGUAGGGCUAUAAAAAAAAUAGUGAAAAUAAUUUUCUACCGACCAUACUGACGGGGUCACCUACAAUAAAACAUCUUAAUUAAAGAACAUCUAUAUCAACUUGAUCAAAAUGCAAUUGGAAGUUAUUUUUAAUUGUAUCGUCAAAUCUAAUAGCUUGCAAGUAAGGGGAGUGUUUUUCUUAAUGAAAUUCAAACUCAAUUAUUAUAUUUUAUUUAAUAACAAUUGUCGCACGUCAAAAAAAAAUCAGCGCGGCAUCGGCUGGCGAUUUUAUCGUUGUUUGUUUUGCUUUGAUUGGUUCGUUGGGAGUCGCCACCUAGUAAUUUAUUGAGGGCUACUAGGAAACCUGAUGUACUGGUCUUCUCAGAGAUUCAAGGGUAAGGGACAGGUUGUGGUUAGGGAAGGUAUUAGCACCCCUAACGCACCCUACCUGAGGUAAGCUGCUUCGUGGACUUGAUGCAUUUUAAAAAUAAAAUUUUAGCCCAAUUCUAAGGCUUUGAUAAAUCAGUUAUUCGUUCCCAAAAUAUAUGUAGAUACAUGUUCUACAUUUUUAUGGGAAAUACAACAUGAUUUUUAUCUGUCCUUUAGAUAUUUGUGCAUAUAAAUUAAAAUAUUAAAUUCAUUUUUUUUCUUUGAUUCAAUAACAUCCAUAAAAAAUAUACACAAACACACACAUCUCUUUUACUAUUAUUACUUUCUCUUUCUUUUCUUUUCUUUUCAUCCACAAUACAAAUUAUACACAUUCAAAAAAAUAACUACACAAAAAUUACAUCAAACACUUUAAAAAUUACAGAAUAACCCAAAACAUCCCAGAACAGUGUCAGGAAGCCUUCUGGAACCGCUGGAACAGUGGCGGCGCGUUGCCCAACGCGCCACCGCCACUGGUGGCGCGUGGAUUCACGCGCCGCCGCCGAUGAAGGGGACAGAAUCCGGUGAAUCGGGGACCUCUUCCUCUUCUCUGCCUCCCUACGCCGGAGGUGACCUGCAAAACAACCAGGAACGCAGCAAGCAGUUGAUUUUACUCUUUUUUUUAUUUUUAGAUCUGUUUCCUCCGGUCGGUUCUUUCCAGAUCUGCUUCAAAGUAAACCUCUCUUUGAUUUACAUCUGCUCCUUCUGCCGAUGGCAGGUCUGGUGGAGGCGGAUCGCGGUGGACGCGGGCGGAUCCGCCGGUGCCUGAGGGCUUCGGUGUGGAGCAGAAAGGAGGCGUUUCCUGGUGGGGCUGGAUCCGUGGGCCACUGGCAGUGCGAUUCUGCCGGCGUUUCGGCGAGCUGGCCGCUGGUUCAGGAGGAAAGAGCUGUGGGAGGCCGCGGCUGAGGAAGAAAGUGGGGGUUGUAUUGUGGGUCUUGCCGCUGUCGUCUGCUGGCUGCUGCCGUUCGGUUGCUGUGGAAGAGACCGAAGGAGAAAGAAGAUCUGUUGAAGCUGGUCGGUUGACAGAGAACGGCUUCGGGUGCAGGGGAAGAAGGAGACGGUGGAAGUGUGGGUGGUGCUAGUUUGGGGAAGGAGAAAAGGAUGAUCGGUUGAGAGGGGAAGUGAUGCAAACAAUGAGGAAGUCUUGGUUUUUUUUGCUAAGGAACCGGGGGGAGUGAAGGGGAGAUAGUGGAACCGAGAGAGAAGAUGUCAGGGGCAGACGUGAGGCUUGUGGCUAGUUUGUGGGUAGAAGCUGUGGUGGUCUGCUGUGAGGGUGGAGAGGCAGAGGUGGAAGGCUGAAAUGGCAGGGGAAAUGGCGAUGGGGGGGCUGUGUGCAGAGAAGAAAAAAAUCUCUGGGGGGCGGCGGCGGCUGGGUGUGAAAGAGAUAGGUUUAGGGUUUCUCUUUCCCUUUUUGUUUGUCAAAAUUGCCCCCCCUAUUGUUUGAGUUGUGGACCAGUAUUUAUAGGUAAAAUGUUGCAUGGAUCUCAAAAUUGGUCCCUCAACUUUCUUUUUUUUGUAAAUUUGAUUUUUCUUAAUUUUUUUGUAUUUUUUUGAAAACAAGUAAUAUCAACGUCAACUCAAUGAAGAAAAUCAAUAAUUUUAAAAACAACGCG
This 18994-nucleotide long non-coding RNA is filed under the name Populus trichocarpa (black cottonwood). Its description in RNAcentral is "long non-coding RNA (PTRI_LNC004319)". The record is from RNAcentral. Lineage: Eukaryota; Viridiplantae; Streptophyta; Magnoliopsida; Malpighiales; Salicaceae.